This is a long non-coding RNA of Nerophis ophidion (straightnose pipefish), 648 nucleotides long. RefSeq lists it as uncharacterized. The transcript is spliced from 2 exons. The record is from RefSeq and is a predicted model, not a curated record. NCBI's taxonomy places the organism in Eukaryota, Metazoa, Chordata, Actinopteri, Syngnathiformes, Syngnathidae.
GGUUGUAUCUGCUGCUUUAAUGUCUUUAAUGUCCUCUGUGGUCUUUGAUUUUUGAUGUUUCCCGCUUACACACAUGGAAGAGGGAUGUGUACUAUGGCUAUGAGUUGUUUUUUUUUCCCUUGGCCUCAGUCUGCACCCCCACUACAGGGCCGAGGCUAAAACCGAUUUUUUUUUAAUUUUAUUUUAAUCUUCUAUUCUUUUCUCCCCACCCCCAUGUUUACCUGUAUGUCAUCUUUUUUGUAAGGGGCGCUGGAAGCCGGUGUUGUGCCGAAUUAUGCACCCCCGCCGUAAAAUGCACCCUCUGGCGGGAGCGCGCUUACGUCACUCGGUUGCGUCACCCGUCUCGAAAAGUUGCUAAACUCGGCUAAAAUCGCCUCUUUCGGCAUAAAAAUGUACAUAACAAGGUGAAUAAUCCAAAUUGUCUUUACUUUGGAUAUAUUAAUGGAUGGAUUAAUUGUGAUUCUUCAAUGAUUUCGCCGUCAUUGCCUUUAAUGAUUUCGUCGUCAUUCAGAGACAUCAAGGAGAACGAAUGUUUGCUGCUUCACUCGACGGGAUCCAAUACAUGUAUUUUAAAAAUAUGACAUUUUCUUUAACUGUAAGAAGCUCAUGGGUGGAUGGAUGAAUACAUUAAUAAAUGAAUGCAUCUGA